UCAAGAAACUUCCACAAUGGGCGAAAGCCUGAUGGAGCGACGUCGCGUGAUGGACGAAGUGCUUCGGCACGUAAACAUCUUUUAUGUGGGAUGAAAUUAUUGACAGUACCACAUGAAUAAGGGGCUCCUAACUCUGUGCCAGCAGCCGCGGUAAUACAGAGGGUGCAAGCGUUAAUCGGACUUACUGGGCGUAAAGGGUGCGUAGGCGGAAGGAUAAGUUAGUUGUGAAAGGCCUGGGCUUAACCUAGGAACUGCAAUUAAGACUGUCCAUCUAGAGUUGAGUAGAGGGGAGCGGAAUUUCCGGUGUAGCGGUGAAAUGCGUAGAUAUCGGAAGGAACAUCAGUUGCGAAGGCGGCUCUCUGGACUCAAACUGACGCUGAGGCACGAAAGCGUGGGUAGCGAACAGGAUUAGAUACCCAGGUAGUCCCUGAGCGGGCUGGCAAGGCGCAU
Molecule: ribosomal RNA, 450 nt
Filed under: uncultured bacterium
Lineage: Bacteria
Description: bacterial SSU rRNA
Rfam family: Bacterial small subunit ribosomal RNA
Source: RNAcentral